GACGAACGCUGGCGGCGUGCCUAAUACAUGCAAGUCGAGCGGACCACAUCGGUGGUCAGCGGCGGACGGGUGAGUAACACGUGGGCAACCUGCCUGUAAGACUGGGAUAACACCGGGAAACCGGUGCUAAUGCCGGAUAAUCCUUCUCUUCUCAUGAAGAGCAGCUGAAAGAUGGUUUCGGCUGUCACUUACAGAUGGGCCCGCGGCGCAUUAGCUAGUUGGUGAGGUAACGGCGCACCAAGGCAACGAUGCGUAGCCGACCUGAGAGGGUGAGCGGCCACCCUGGGACUGAGACACGGCCCAGACUCCUACGGGAGGGAGCAGUAGGGAAUCUUCCGCAAUGGACGAAAGUCUGACGGAGCAACGCCGCGUGGGCGAUGAAGGCCUUCGGGUCGUAAAUCUCUGUUGUCAGGGAAGAACAAGUACCGGAGUUACUGCCGGUACCUUGACGGUACCUGACCGGAAAGCCACGGCUAACUACGUGCCAGCAGCCGCAGUAA
RNAcentral lists this ribosomal RNA (500 nucleotides) under uncultured bacterium. Its description in RNAcentral is "partial 16S ribosomal RNA". It matches the Rfam family "Bacterial small subunit ribosomal RNA", at positions 28 to 523 of the family's 1533-position model. The record is from RNAcentral.